Non-coding RNA from Paragonimus westermani, 66 nucleotides. NCBI's taxonomy places the organism in Eukaryota, Metazoa, Platyhelminthes, Trematoda, Plagiorchiida, Troglotrematidae. The record is from the annotation of a GenBank genome assembly.
CUAGAAGUAGCUUAUUUCAAAGUUUGGGAUUCUUACUCCCGGGAUGUUAGGUUUUAACCUUUUAGG